Molecule: ribosomal RNA, 737 nt
Filed under: Cryptomys hottentotus natalensis
Lineage: Eukaryota; Metazoa; Chordata; Mammalia; Rodentia; Bathyergidae
Description: partial 12S ribosomal RNA
Rfam family: Bacterial small subunit ribosomal RNA
Source: RNAcentral
GCCAGUGAAUAUGCCCUUAAAAUCAACAUGAUAAGAAGGAGCUGGUAUCAAGUACACACAAAAGUAGCUCAAUACACCUUGUACAACCACACCCCCACGGGAAACAGCAGUGAUAAAAAUUAAGCUAUAAACGAAAGUUUGACUUAGUUAUGCAGUUUAUUUAGGGUUGGUAAAUCUCGUGCCAGCCACCGCGGUCAUACGAUUAACCCAAAUUAAUAAACACCGGCGUAAAGAAUGUUUAAGAAUAUAACCAAACUAAGAUUAAAUUUUGUCUAUAUCGUAAAAAAUUUUAGACGAAUUAUAACUCAAUAAACGCAAGUAAUCUUAUAAAAUCUGAAUACAUGACAGCUCAGGCUCAAACUGGGAUUAGAUACCCCACUAUGCUAAGCCGUAAACACAAAUUAUUAAGUAAAACAAAAUAUUUCGCCAGAGGACUACCAGCAACGGCUAAAAACUCAAAGGACUUGGCGGGGCUUCACACCCGCCUAGAGGAGCCUGUUCUGUAAUCGAUAAACCCCGAUAAACCUCACCACUAUUUGCUAAUACAGUUUAUAUACCGCCCUCUUCAGCAAACCUUAAUAAAGAAAAAAAGUGAGCACAAUCACAAGCAUAAAGACGUUAGGUCAAGGUGUAGCCAAUAAAGUGGGAAGAAAUGGGCUACAUUUUCUUAACGAAGAACAUCUAAACGAAAACUAUUAUGAAAUCUAAUAGUGUAAGGAGGAUUUAGUAGUAAAUUA